Molecule: long non-coding RNA, 612 nt
Organism: Mus musculus (house mouse)
Lineage: Eukaryota; Metazoa; Chordata; Mammalia; Rodentia; Muridae
Product: predicted gene, 36212
Exons: 5
Source: RefSeq, a predicted model, not a curated record
UCCAGAGAUGCAGUGUGAUGGGAUUGUAUACAGUGGCUUCAAGAGGCAGCAACACAAGCCUUGUGUCCACACUGAAGUUAUUUUAGCUUCACAAUGUAUGGAAGAUAGAAGUUGUCAUGCUAUGGAACUGUGAUGGCCACAUUCAGGGUGUGUCUUCCUAGCCGUGUGAAGCCAAUCUAGGUAAUUCUUCACAGACAUCCCUGGAUACUUUUUUCGAGAAUGAUUCAAGAUACCACCAAGCUGCCAAUUGAGACCGGGCAGUAAUGUGCCUCUGAUACAGCCUUCUUCUCAGAGUGCCUUGGCAAGAUCUUGUUAACCUAGCAGAAGAUAACUUCUCAUAUUCCUCUCUGCCAUAUGAUGAGCAAAGAACGAUGACAAGGGACAGUCGGUACUGCAGAGAAGUCUCCCGAAGCCUGGCAAGGAUGUAACACAUCACCGUGACCCACCUCAGAGGAACCCCAGCCCUGCACAGAAAUCAUGGCCCGUGACCCCAAAUGGGACCCUUUGUUCUUCAGGCUUGACCUUCUUCAAUUUGUUACACUGUCCACCUUCAGUUUGUCUUAGAGGGCUUCCUUCCUGAGAAAUCCAAGCAUCCCAGCUCUGUGAGUCCAU